UGCGUAGGUGGUUUCUUAAGUCAGAGGUGAAAGGCUACGGCUCAACCGUAGUAAGCCUUUGAAACUGGGAAACUUGAGUGCAGGAGAGGAGAGUGGAAUUCCUAGUGUAGCGGUGAAAUGCGUAGAUAUUAGGAGGAACACCAGUUGCGAAGACGGCUCUCUGGACUGUAACUGACACUGAGGCACGAAAGCGUGGGGAGCAAACA
Molecule: ribosomal RNA, 206 nt
Filed under: uncultured bacterium
Lineage: Bacteria
Description: partial 16S ribosomal RNA
Rfam family: Bacterial small subunit ribosomal RNA
Source: RNAcentral